RNAcentral lists this small RNA (28 nucleotides) under Bombyx mori (domestic silkworm). RNAcentral's name for it is "ovarian small RNA-28272". Lineage: Eukaryota; Metazoa; Arthropoda; Insecta; Lepidoptera; Bombycidae. The record is from RNAcentral.
UCGACAACGGCUGCUUUUAAUUUCGUUA